This 253-nucleotide ribosomal RNA is filed under the name uncultured bacterium. RNAcentral describes it as "partial 16S ribosomal RNA". It matches the Rfam family "Bacterial small subunit ribosomal RNA", at positions 524 to 776 of the family's 1533-position model. The record is from RNAcentral.
UACGAGGGGAGCUAGCGUUGUUCGGAAUUACUGGGCGUAAAGGGCGCGUAGGCGGUCCUAUAAGUCAGAUGUGAAAGCCCCGGGCUUAACCUGGGAGGUGCAUUUGAAACUGUAGAACUUGAGAUCGAGAGAGGAAAGCGGAAUUACGAGUGUAGAGGUGAAAUUCGUAGAUAUUCGUAAGAACACCAGUGGCGAAGGCGGCUUUCUGGCUCGAUACUGACGCUAAGGCGCGAAAGCGUGGGGAGCAAACAGG